GUGUGUGUGUGUGUGUGUGUUGGGAUGUUUAUUUGGAGGAUAGUUGUUCCUUCUAAAAUUUCUUGGGGGAAUAUUGGUUGUGCACCAUUUGCUACUAUAUUCCUACUCAUUCUUCUAUUUUGUAAAUAAAAAGGACAAAAAAAGAACCAUUUGGAAUAACCAUUCAUAUAAUUUACAAUUAUUGACCCUUGAUCUCUAACAUAUCCAAGUCAUAUGCAUGUAAAUAAUUAUUGCUA
Molecule: unclassified non-coding RNA, 236 nt
Filed under: Hevea brasiliensis (rubber tree)
Lineage: Eukaryota; Viridiplantae; Streptophyta; Magnoliopsida; Malpighiales; Euphorbiaceae
Source: RNAcentral